GAGACACCUUUAUGGGGCAUGACUUGUUUCAGUGGGGCUUUGGUGCUCACUGUGUCUGCCCCCUGAGUGUGUCCCU
This is a non-coding RNA of Myotis lucifugus (little brown bat), 76 nucleotides long. Lineage: Eukaryota; Metazoa; Chordata; Mammalia; Chiroptera; Vespertilionidae. The record is from Rfam.